UUUUGAGAUCAAAGAUGAGGCAUACAGGACAGGGUCUGAGAGUGGUGAAAAUCGAUCAAAAACAAGAUACACACUCCUAUUUCCAGUUAACAAUGCAUACUGCGCAUACCCAUGUAUUUCUUUGAUUCUUUCUUUGCCGCAAAGGGGGGUGAUAAGGGGAUUGUAUAGGUGCGACAGAACUUUUUUUUUCAGAAUUUUUAUCAUAACACCGCAAGAUUGAUCGACGAUCACACGUACAUGAAUACAAAAAGAAUAUGAAUCGGCCGCGAAAAUUACAAGAAAUACUGGACAGAAAAACAAAACCCCUGUAUACUUCUAGAACACAUACGAUGUAUGUAUAUUCGCACCUAGGUACUCAAUUAUACGCUACUUGAUCAACCCAUAAUCGUUCAAUAUAUACCAUCCGUCUAUACGUGCGAUAUAUGCACGUAUAUAUACGUCAUACCACAAGAGCAGAGGUUGCCAACUAGCUAGGGGAGUCGCCAUGGCCAUGCCCUUCGCAGAGCUCCGAGAGCGCCCUGAGGAGCUCCACCCUGACCCGGAGCUGCGCGAUGUAGUCGGCCGUGCGGACGAGCAGCCGGUCGGUGGGCAUAACCGCCGCCCCGGGGACCAGCCGCCGCAGCUCCCGCACCUUCCGCCCCACCGCCGCCGACCGCCGGCGACGGCUCGAGCACAGCGACCUCCUCCUCCUGGCGAUCUCCAUGCCGAACGGAUCAGCAGGACAAUCAAUGAAAUGUGCUAGCUAGCUAGCUCUCUAGCAGCUACGCUACGUGCGGUACGUGUAGGCGUAGCGUGGCCCUGUGGUCGACGUGACGACGUUGAUGGGGAGGGAGGGAGAGCUGAGGCUGGGCUCGGGAUAAAUAGGGAGGGGGAGGGAGCGUUUUGGGAGCGGACGUUUCAGCGAGGGGGUUGCGCGUAAAAGUGAGCGUGAGCUGUGGCGCGUCGCGUAGCGCGGCGGAAGGGGGCCCGCGCGUGGACGCCACGUCUUGUCCUGCACACGUGUCUGACAGCUUUCUGACCGCCCAAGGACCCGGGGAAUUUAUGGGCGUGGAUUUUGUUUUGCCCGUUCUGCCCUUCGCUUUGUCUCUCGUGUGUCGAGAACCUUCUGAUGACAAAUUCAUGCGAAGUGAGUGUAGUUUAAAAAAAAUUGAGCAGUGACUGUAGUUUAAACGGUUUGGUUCCUUGUGAUGGAACUAGCCCAUCAGGGAAAGUCCUGUAGUUAAUAUUGGUAUUUUGCAUUUUUUUGAAUUUAAUUUAGUCUUUCUGGUGAUGUUCAUUUACUGCGAAGAGCGUCCCCGACUAUGAAGGCGUUUAUGGUGACUUUAUCACCCUCAUGUGUGCAUCCAAAUUUGUCCCCGUGUUAGAAAAAAGGAUAACAAAUUCACAAGGACCGGAUGACCUUUUCUAAGAGAGAUUUCAUGGAUUUUGCUUUUUAGAAAAGAUUUCCUUUAUUAUAAGGGUUCAGCGAGACAAGACCCGGACCAAACCAUGGUUCUACCUGUGACGAGAAGUCAUAACACGAUUCUACUACCUAUUACGAGAACUUGUAGUUUUAGCACAUUUAAUCUCUCGAUCUUCAUUAAGGACGUUGUUGGCAUGGCAGGACAAAACACAUAUCUCUACUCCAAAUAUUCCCAACGCUUCUGCUCAAUCGAGUCCACCAAAACAGGAUGCCCGACUAAUACAACCCUAGCAGAAUUUCAUCCUAGCUCAUGUCAAGCCUCAAAUUCAACAUGUAAUGCACUUGCAUAGGAACACAUCGAUCUGUAGGAUAAAAAGAUGAUAUCACCUGAACUAUUCCAUAACACCAUGCCAAUCCUACUGUACCAAUCUGAUGCCAUGAACGAUCUUUCCACAUUUAAGUUGGUCGAGCCCAUUUCAUACAGGUCACUAGUUUGCUGAACCAUGCAUUCUGUUGUAGACCCAAUUAAACUACGACAUUCUUUGUGGGAACACUGAACAACCUGCUUACCCUUUGCUAAGUCAAUCAUUUGGUAUUUCUUUCUAAGUAGUAGCAAGUCGAGAUAGCUAAUUGCAUAAAUAUCUCCUUGGUCUUUCUAUUCCCAGCAUCAACUUGUGAAGUGUCAAUUCAUUAUGCACAUGCCACACCAUUAGAGAAGCAUAAAAAAACACCACACGUUUUGUCUGCGAAACUUGUCAAGGAUCCACUAUGUUCCUACAAACCAACAAGCCCUCACCCCAUAUGUCUAAGUACUCUCUCAUUGCCUGCUACGGAGCUUGAGCACGAGGAUAUCAACAUAUCAUGUGAAAAGUGCUCUCACCAUCCACUCCACAGAUGGUGCAUAUCCCUUGUGUAAUCAUAUGCCUUUGAUGAAUAAUAUCUUUAGUAGAUAGAGCACUUCUUAAGACAUUCUUUUUCAAUCUUAAUUGGGAUUGGGCACUUCGCAACUAAAUUCCAAUGAGGGUGUGCUCACACAUACCUUGUUCAUCGAAUUAAUGUUGCAAGGCAAGAUAACAUGCACUAGGAAACAAGAACAUGCUUCAAUUGUCUAGGUAGGAUAUCUACAAAAUUGCUUCUUGAAGGCUUAAUCUGUAGAAUCAUUUCCAUAAGGGACAAAUGAUUCAAAACCUCAACGUAAGGUUAUGCCGUUUCAAAUUUCACAUAAUUAAAGAUAGGAUUCAUUGAACCAUAGAAAUAUAUCAACAUUCUCAAAAAUACCAAGUGAAUAAUUUUGCUAUUACAUAUAAUUUGUUAGAUAUGCGAAGCCUACAGAUUAAAUAGUGUAUGCAACAGGAACCCCUCUGAAUUGCCAUUUUCCAAAAAUAUCUGAACAAAAAAAGCUACGAUUGUUGUAGAGAGAAAGUGUGACAUUCAACAUGUGUGUGUGUGUGCGCGCGCGUGCAUGUGUGGUCUUACCAUCUAACGACAUCAAGCCAUCUUCAUCAUCAACCUAUUUCAUUAUACACAACCUCAUGCACUUUCUCGCGAGUACUUUCUCCUUACUCAUGAAGUUUCGUUGUUGGUCACAGGGCGGGAGGUUCCCGAGUGCUGAUUUUGGGCUCACAUGGAUGGCUUGAAAUGUGAAGUAGUGUUUCAUGAAACAUCAACGAGAUAACAUCGGUGGUACAUAGUGGCGGUGGAGAACUAAUGUUGUAAAAAUUUACGGCAAGAAGAAAGCAACAACCGAACUGCAUGUCUCCUGAUGUAUAUUGGGUCGCUCUAGCCUCAUAUGCACGACGAUUGUGACAUCAGAAUGGAAAAACACUGCACUCACAUGUCACGUUCAUCGCCAGAGUAUUUGAUGCUAACCAUUCCAAUUUGGAGUAGGAGUUUGGACCACAUUUUGGUGGAAAUGCUUUAAUUAAAUAUGGGCAGCAUAUGGGAUUUAGGUGAAAAUGAUUGAAAAUAGUUUGACGGGAAGUCGGAAGCACCAUGACCAAUUACAAAAUAAGAUAAUAAGAUUAAUCUUCCAUGUCUUGGAAGUUAACAUCAAAAUUCGAACAUGGUCCAAAAGUAGUUCUAACACCAAGCUCUUAAAUCUUGUCAUCUUGAUAAAGUUCACCAUAUCUGUCUAUACCGGUGUUGCACACGUAUGGUAGUUGAAAAAUACUUAUCUACAGAAUUGGUUUCACGAGGCACACGAAGGGAAUACAAAACAUAACAGUAUCAUUAUGUGUCACAGCAUACAAAUUAUCUAGUAGGUGCACCACUUCACCGUACGUCUAUGCAAAUUGUCACCACCCACGCAAUGCAAGACAGCAUAGGGUCAAGAAAUUGAUUGCGUGACAAGGUUUGUGUACUACCAUCGAAAACCGUACGUAGUCACGCCAGCCAGCCAGCUGCAACCCUCUAGGCGUCAAAUUAGACCGCGAAAAGCAAAGCGCUCAUCAGCAUAACCGUCUGAGAACGUGUUUGCACGUGCGUGCCGGGCGGUGGGCGUGGCAUGAUAGCUGGCCUCUUUUAUCCUGUAAUGGACGAGCCGUGAGGUGGAUGGGAAGGGGACCAUGAGGCCAUGGGGGGCACUCUAGGUGUGCACGUAACAUGGCUACAUAUGCACAGGUUUUCUCUUGGCGGGAACAUGAGAGAGAAAGAAACGGAGAGCCGGCCGGGUUGGCCCGUUGUGGUUGGUGCACUCAAUAACGGGAAACGGUGCACAUGCAUGCACAUGAUGCUACGGCCCCUGAACAAUCCAGUCUUGGCGUAUUAUCGAUCCAUCCAUCUAAUUAAGCCGUACGUCUGGCCGUCCGAUAAAUGCAUUGCUAGCUUGCACUUGCACAGCCAUGUAUGUGCCGUUCAUUCAACCAGUGGAUGGAUGGGAGAAUCCCACGUGCCUCUAUAUGACUAUAUGUAAUGUACGCCUGCGGCCUGCCUCGACACUCAGUCUAGCUUAUAUAAUUAUUAUGGACUUGAUCAAAGUUAAGCCGUCCAAUAAACACGAAAACAGACGUCGAUCGUGAUGGUGCUAGCAAUGAUAACGCCCCUGUUCUUCGAUGAAAAAAAUGAUAGUGCCCCUGGUAAACGAAGACAAAUAUCUAUGGAUCUGAUAGUUUCUCUCAAGGCUGGGUCGAACGAACUUGCCUGGAUUCCCUCCAGGGUUUGUGUCUUCUUUGUACUCAUCUUGAGAUGAAAUGUGUUUUUCACCAUGCGACAACGAACCAGUUGCUCACCCAGCGAUUGAGAUUUCAGCCAUGCAUGGACCUAGAAAAUAAAUAAAUAUAGAUUACGGCCGAACUUUUGCUGCAAGCUUAGCUUGGAUGCAUGCAUUGGCGGAGUCGGGGCCAAAAGCUGUACCAGAGUGUCAAAACCGUAAUAUUUUUAGAUGUCGGUACUCUGCAAGAGGCUGACCGAUUACGCCCCUGUUUUUUUUUUCUCUAGGAUUGAGAGGCCACGGUUGGCCAGAGUGUGGACGAGCAAGAUGGAGGGGAAAGUGAGGUUCUUCUUAUGGCUCUUGCUCCAGAACAGAAACUGGACUGCUGACCGAUUGCAAGCAAGAGGCUGGCCACAUAAUGAUCUCUGCAAGCUCUGUGAUCAGGAACCUAAAACUGCGAAUCAUAUUGCUCUGCACUGCUCUUUUGCCAAGGAGAUAUGGUUCCAGUUCCGACAAUCUCACAAUGCCAUGUGUGUUGUGGCCGAUGAGGCGCGGACCGUGGGCGAGUGGUGGGAGAGGUUGUGCUCUGCCAGAGGGUCGAGGGAGCAAUGCAGGGAGGACAUGACCGUGGCUGCCUACAUUGUGUGGAAUCUCUGGAAGGAGAGGAAUCAGCGAGUCUUCAAACAUAAGGAACUGACAAUUCUUGCGCUAACUGGGCUCAUUAAGGAUGACAUCAAGUGUUUUGGGGAGGCAACUAGAGGGGUUCACACCGUAGGGUUGUAAUCUUUUCUGCUUUCUAGUCUCCAUGCUGUAAUGUGGGAUGCGACCUUCACGCGAUGGUCGAUCCGUUCUUGUAUGACUUCUUUUCUAUAAUGCAAAGGCAGAGCUCCUGCUAUUCUUGUCAAAAAAAAAUAUGUAGAAGAUGAUUGUCUACACUGAAUGAGAAUAGUCAAAGGUGAUCACCGUAGCUCAAUUUUUCUAGGCCGGCUUGCGAUCGCGAUUCUGCAUACCGUAUACGACAACAUCAAAGGUGUCCUUGCUAAAUGUAUGUGCAUGUGACCUGUGAUCGUGACCAUAAAGCCUAUAGCCUGGUGGGCGGUGUCUACUAACACCUUAAUCAUAAUUUAGAGGAAAGGCAGGGGCUCUAAGCCAAAAUACCAUCUUUUUAGGUUGCAUCACAGCUCACCGCUAGCCGCUAGGGCCCUGAUCUCCUGCCCUUCGCUUUCUGUACCAGACCAGCGGCAUACCACAAUCCUCCCGCGGUUUCAUUUUCGAAAAUACUAAGGCUCACACGAUUUGCAUCUCGACCAUACGCAUAGAUCAACGUUUAUUUGUGUUUGUAUGAAUUUUGGCAUGUUUUGCCAGAUUUUUUAUGACACGUAGGACUGGGCUGGUGUGUGAGCAUUCAUCGAUCGCCCACACGUCUGUUUCACCACGCGGAGGGGCUGGUGUAUGGGCGUUUAGCAGUUCGCCAAAAACGUCAGUUUUCACGCACGCAGAGGGGCUGGUGUGUGGGCCUUUAUGAGUUCGCACACACGCCCGUCUCCUCUCCCACACCCAAAGCAGUCAGUUGCCAUGUGUUUUUUCAGAGUACAUGGCAAUUGCCCUAGCGUGCUUGUAAGCAGAUGGCAACUCUCUCUGUACCCAAGUUGCCAUGUGUUUUGCAGGGUACAUGACAACUGCCCUAGCGUGCUUGUAAGCAGAUGGCAACUCUCGCUUUACCCGAACAUGUUUUUUUGCCAUGCCUUUUUUAUAGUGCUACAUGGCAAAUGCCUAGUGUUAGUAGGUGGCAACUCCUAAAGUUUUCAAAUCAUGGCAACUGUAGUAGACCAGACCAUACAUGGCAACAGCUGCAGUUGUCCAAAAAUGGCAUCUGGCACUUGACCUGAGAUGGCAACUGCAGUUGAGCAACCAUCGCAAGGUUCAGCAACAUGGCAACUGCAGUUAAACGAACAUGGAAGAGGGUCCGGACCAUGACAAUUGCGGGGACGCGUGGUGACUGUCACGCGGAGCGUGCGGGGUCGUGAGUACGGGCGUGUGGGCGUUAUCUAUUUUGCCCACACGUAGGCGUGUGGGAGGGACCGCGAGGCAAAAGACCGAACGUAUGGGCAUUACUUGUUUUGCCCACACGCAGACGUGUGGACUGGUUCUUUAGAUAUCACCAAAAACGUGUGGCCAGACCCCUUAACGCCCACACGUAUCGGGACCCUUCAUUUUUUACUUACCCUGUAACCCUUUCUUUUCUUAACUUGUGGCACACUUUAUUUGAACAAAAAACAAGUUACAUCCCGAAAAAGUUCCAGUUAGAGCAUUCAUAGUCGGACUUGGCAAAUCCGACCACUCAAACGCUCGCGGACGCGCUCGGGCGCGUUCGCAGGCACUGACCGGGCACCUCCCAAAUCGCGUCGUCCACAUCCGUGUAUCUCAUAUCCGAACCCCUAUAUCCAUACUAAAUCAUGCAACGUCAAUAAAAUUACGUAGAUCAGCUGACCGGACAUAGAAUCAGACAUAGGAUAGCACAAUAGUUCACCAGAAAAUCACGAACGGUUAUUCAUAGGUCCACCAAAGUUCACAUAAACAACAGACAACUUAUACUACAUCUAAAACUUGAAAGUAAAUUGAACUUCACCACUUUCGGGCCAGCCCUUGCCCCUUCUGGUCGCCAGCGUAGCUGUAGCCGUCGGCGGCUGGUGAAGGAUCAUCCGAUUUGCCAGAAUCGGAGCCGUCGUCGUCAGACGAGGAGGGGGAGACGAUGAUGAAGCCCUUGAGGUGCUGGAAGGCCCGGUCUUGCUGGCGCCUGAGCUUGGCCAGUCGAGCCACCUCCGUCACCUUCUCCUUCGCGUCCCGCUCGGACUGCUUGAUGGCAAGCCGUAGAGCCUUCACGUUCUUCCGGCGGAGCCGCCGAACCUCCGUCUCCGCCGUCGUAAGCGACCGGCGGUAGAACCACGUGAGGAGCCGUGCGUCCUCAUCGGGCUCCGUUGUUACCCCUCGGUGGCGGCGGACAGAGCUCUCCGCAACGUCCCUCUCCCUUGCUCGCUACCUCUCGCAACGGGCGGCGCGCGCCUCCGACUCCAGCAUGCGCGUCUGGCCCGCGGGGCGGGCACAAGCACCCACCACUGCCCAUGAGGGGGAGCAGCAGCCGGCGGGGCCAGGGGAUGGUGUAGGGGAGGCACGGAUUGCGCAGGCCGCCUGUCGAAGCUUCCCCUGGUAGGGAGGGGCCAGCACCGGUGUCCGAGCUGCGGCGACAGGGAAGCUGCAGAUGCGGCGAGGCUGCAGAUCCUGAGCUGCUCCCGGUCUCCACCUUGGACCACUCAAAGGCGAUGCGGAGGGCAAGUUCAUACUCUGGAUCCAGCUCAUCGUUGGAGCGGCUGCCGGUGCUUGACAUUGCGCCGGAUUCAAUCGGAAUUGGUGCGUGGAGAGGAGAGGACAAAGCGAGAGAGAAGAGUGAGUGAGCUAGGGUUUCAGAGCGAUGAGCUUGAUGGGUUUUUUUGUGGGACAUCCAUGGGGUCGAUGGUGGGCCGGGCUUGUCAGGCGGACGCGCCCGGACGCGCCCGGGCCGCCUCAUAUCCACCCUACAUUUGGGACGGAUAUGAGGGGUGCCGGUCAGCCCGGGCGUUUGAGGCCCGUUUGAGAGUUCCGGUUGGUUCGGUAUUUUGUGAUCGGUCAGUGACCGAAAGGCCUGCCCGGGCAUAUGAGAUGGAUAUAGGGCGCCCAACUUUAGAUGCUCUUACGAGAAAAUUUGGAACCCUCCAAAGAAAUUACAGAAAUUGAGUCAUACGAAUUCCUAGCUAAGCAGUGUGCCACUUUGUUCGUCUCUCUAGUGCAAUGCAUGAAAGAAAAUGAGUCAAUCUUGUGCGUAAUUUGAAAACACACACUGAGGACUAAAGAAUUAGUGUUAUGGAAAAAUCAUAUUGUCGUAGGCUUUCUGAAGAUCUACUUUGAGGUAGGUCUUGACAACACCCACUACAGAAAAAUACACUUCCAUAAUGAUACGUGUUUGUCACAGUAGAUCAUCUUUUUUUCCAUGUAUGUACAUCCAUGACGAUUUUAUGAAAGAAUCGAUAGUCAUACAUGUGCUGUGGUAGAAGUGUUCCAUGACAAUACAAAAAUUAUCAUCACGGAAGUGUUCACUUCCAUGACGAUAAAUGACGCAUCAUGGAAGUGCUUUUGUCAAGGGUAACCGACACGUGGCAUCCACCGUAACGGGUCAUCGUUAAGCUAUCGGGUCCGGUUUUGGAUCCGAUAACCCGUUAACAGCCCAGACCAAUGGCGAUUUUCCACAUGUAAAAUUCUCAUUGGCCGAAGGAAACAUGUGGCAGCUCGUCAUUGGGUCAGAUAGACGCCUAUGAUAUGUCGACACGUGCGACAACCCACCACUGGCCCAUUUAGCUUACAAAGGCCGGCCUGUUUGACUUGGUCAAAAGUUAGCGGGUCGGCCAUGAAAAGCCUGUUAAUGGUCUGUUUGCAAAUAGCCCAUUUUAUGGCCCAGUAACUCAGGGCCCAUUAGGGCCUUCCCGAAAUCAGCCCAACAGCGUCAUGUGGGCCGUCGAAUAUAACACCAUCACGUUUCACUUUCGGCCAUGUAUUGCCCACGACGUCUUUUGGCCCAUAUGAGGCCUUUCUUAUCUUUAGGCCCUUUAGUGGCCCACGGUGACUCUAGCCCAUAAUGUACAGUAAAUUUCUUUCUACCCAUUAAUGACCCAUGAUUCACAUGGGCCGUUUCCAGCCCGUGUUAGCUUUCGGCAUACUGACGGCCCAUACGUUCUUGUGCUCCUUUCCGGCCCUCGAUUACUUCCGGCCCGUGCCUAGAAUCGGCCCGUUUCUGGCCUGUUAACCCGUUGCACCGUUUCUAGCCCGUCCUGUAUUCUGGCCCAUUAACAACCCGUCAUUCAUGUGACAGAAUUAAGCAUUUGCUGUCUUCCGGCCUAUUAACGGCCGGUUACCAUGCUGGCCUGAUACCAGUUAUGCCCGUUUACGGCCCAUGUGGACCCAUUUAUCCGACGGCCCGAGGCCCACCGAUUCUACUGCCCGUUGGAGGCCCAUUUAUCCGACGGCCCAUAGGAGGCCCUUGGAUCCUACAACCUGUAGCAGGGUCAAGGUUACCACGGUCCGUAUACGACCCAUGGUUGUUGCGGCCACUAGCAAACCAGGGAAAAAGAAGACUAGGAAAAAAAUAAGCCCGAAACUAACGCUAGGCUAUUAAGGCGAUUGCACAGAUUACAUCCAGUGGGCAUCAAAGUUCGCCACUAGUGCAAAUAUAGGGAACACCCUACACUAUACAAAAUUGGCUUGCUAUUUUCUUCAACCGGUGGGUGCAUGUUAAGAACAAAUUUUGUAUCGCAACAAAACAAAUUACAACCAUAAAACAAAAGGAAGGUUGGCAUAAAAGUUAACAGUCUGGCAGAUAAAUGCACCACCAGAAGUUAAGAAGCUCACUUCAUUUGACCUGACUGUUAUGUUUUCAUGUUGUAUUGUCCGACAGAGCACCAUAACCUUCGCCUUCAUUUCUCCUAGGGUCCUGAACAAUAUAGCAAAUGUCUGAUAGUCUGGUUUCAAAACCAUGCAUAUCUUGACGACAUCGAACAAUGGCUGUCCUUGUUUCACGAAGGGUCUCUGUUAGGGAAUGGGCCUGUGUCUGGAGCACAGAUAUAACAUUGUUUUGAGCUUGCAUACCUUGAUCAUGAGGCAGUUUGGACGAGAUUGCCUUAACAACCAACCCAAUAUUACGCAGGAAUGUGCUUUUGGCACUGUUAGUGGACAGGUACUGACCCACUGCAGCAAGAGGUGACAUUGCGGUUAUAGUUGCCUCGUCACCUUGAGAAGGUGGCAGUUCUACCAUUUUUUCCAUAGCUUGCUGAAAAGUUGCAUUCUUACAUUAGUAGUACCAGAAUAGAAGAUAUUAAGGAGGCAACAAAACCAAACAAAAUAGCUUUGGUCUAUAUACAGAACUUAUUCUGGUGAACCCAUGUAAAAUAUUAGUUGUAUUUUACUGCAAAGUACAUAAUAAAACCAGGUUCCAUACAUAUGACCAUGCACCAUGGCUAAUGUAUUUUCUAUUUCUUCACAUUGUAUUGACAGCUAAGAAUAAAGAGAUAAAGUUUAUAAUACGGUAAGCAUAGUAUGACAUCAUUCAUAUCACAAAACAACUGAGAACAAACAAACAAACAAUUGUAACGUUGUGUGGGCAAGUCCAGCACGGAACCAGAUUAUAGAUCAAGAUCAAAGGAACAUCAAUCCUCUCUUUUAAACCUUAUAAGGUGCAAUGAUACGCUAAGACAAUUGUGUAUAAAAUUGAAAAGAGUAAUAGACAUUGGCUGCAAACCAUGCAGUUCAAUGCACAAGUGAGAGUAAGUAGUAGUUAAAAGGCAUGACGAUUAAGGACUUACAACAGCGUCUUUGACUGGUGUAGUCAUGCCCUUUGUCUUGUUGGUGUGACAGUCCUUGAAGAUUUCCACAACAUUUGGUUCAGGUACUUUUUGGUCCUUGUGGGCUUUCCUCUGCAUUUGGAACAAUUCAAUAUAGAUCUGAUAAUAUGGUACAACAAAAAGAUUGAAACAACAGCUAAUUACAAGAGCCUCGCAGUGUGCAAUAUAGCUACGAGAUCCUGUCAUUUGUUGGAAUUUCACUUUCGUACGGUUGGCCUUGUUCUUUGAACAGUUCACCUACAAGAAGAUAGAUUUCUGAGGCACUUGCGUAAAUAGGAGUUCAACAUGUGAUCUAAUCGCAUACAUAUAACGUACCUGAUACUUUGGAUCAGACCAGUGUUUAACGAGGCCUCUCCAGUCUUCAUCCGAUAUAUUUUCCACUGGAGAUGUUUGGGCAAGUUCACUGUUAGCCUUGCCUUCAAAGUGAGUUUUCCUCAAGUUAUACCAAUACUGUCGCAAAGCAGACUUGAAAACAUGGGUGCAAGCUUGUCUGGUUGCAUCAUCUUUGCUAUCCAACUUGAACCUCAUCUGUUGAAAAUUAUGGUAGUCUCAUUAUCAACAACCUAGAAAGCAUGGGACAGAGGAACACGAUAUUACUAGUUUCCAUACAUAACCAUACUUACAGAUAAAUGGUCGAGGAAGGUGUUGAACUGGGUUUCGUCUUUGCCAAUCCUGUAGUGAAUCCAUGUUGGGAGGAUAUGUACAUGAGACCUAACCGCAACCGCUGCCUCUGAUACUAACUUGGCUGACUAUGUAGCAUCAUGUGGCCUUUUUAAACCUGCCUCAAAACAAAUCUCCAUUCUUCCUCCUCUAGAUUUAGUUAACCUAUCGAGCAUUAUCCCUGAUGUUUGUUUCCUCUUGCUCCUAGGUGCUAGUCCAACAGCGAACAUAGGAAGUGUUAGUGUACAUCAAACUGUGAGACUACAUAUAAAGAAGCAUGCAACUGUAACUUGACUGCAACAACUACCUUCUUGCUGUUGAAGCUCACAAAGUUUAUCUGAUCUUGCCAACUCGUCUUGUGUCAAGAGUGCUUCGGAAGUAGUGUCAGGUGGCAAGGGAGCUUGGGAACGUGCUGCUAGCUGGGUUGCCGAACGAGUAACUCGUGCAGCUGGUGGUACUAUGGAAGGUGUUGCAACAACUAGGGCUGUCUCUGCUUGUUUGGUGGCAGCUAUUGGUUUCUGUUUGGCUUGUUCUGCAGCUCUUGUAGCACGGGAUACCCCGUUUGUACAAUUUUCUGCUAGACUUUGACCUUCUAUUGCACCAUCAGUACCAGUAGAAUCUGUAGGAUUCUUCCGCUUCCGUUUCCGUGUGUCCUUAGUACUAAUACCAUCCCCUGUUAUUCUGUGUUCCUUCCUCUUUCUCUGUGCCAUGUUAAGUCAAGCUAACAAGAAAAAGGAAUAACAAUUUUGUUUUUCAGAACAAAUUGAUGCGUGAUAUAGACAAACUGAAUUUUGAUGUUAGACAACCACAUGAUAGGAGGAUGUAAUAUGUACGAAAAAUAGGACGUCAUGAGAUAAUCAGAACUAUGAUGUGUAAACUAAACAGAAGACAUUUCACUAAAUUAGAAGCAAUGCAAUGGAAGGUAGACACCAUAUGAAAGACGCUACAAAUAUCGCUCUGCCAAGUUAAAAGUGUCUCGUCAUAACUGGCAUUUAAAAAAAUGUGAAGCAGUACAAGAAAUAAAUCAUAUGCAAGAUGCAAACAACAUCACACUACCAAGUUAAAGGUCUCUUGUCAUUAGUGCCAUUGCAUAUUCACAGCAUUGCAUAUUCACAGCUUAUGAUGUGUAAACUAAGCAGAAGACAUUUCAACAAAUUAGAAGCAAUGAAAGCUAGACACCAUAUGAAAGAUGCAACGAAUAUCACUCUACCAAGUUAAAACUGUCUCGUCAUAAGUGCCAUUUCAACAAAUGAGAAGUAGUACAAGCUAGAAAAGAAUGCGAGAUGUAAGGCAAACACAUGAUACCAGGAUGGAAUAUGUAUGAAAAACAGGACGGAAUGGCAUAUUCACAACUGUUUGUGUAAACUAAGCAGAAGCCAUUUCAACAAAUAAGAAGCAAUGCAAACUAGACACCGUAUGCAACAUGCAAGACAAUAUCACGCUGCCAAACUAGAGAAAGCACCUGGGAUGCCGGUUUCGCCGGAAGACCGCCAUCAGUCCUUGCCUUAUUUUUUCCUUCCUCGUUCUUAGUUGUAUUGCCUUGUCAAGUCAAACCCACAAGAAAAUGAAUAAAAAUUCGCUUUUCAGAACUCAUUGAUGCAUAAUGCUGAUGAGCACUAGUUUAAUGUAAGGCGAUCGCAUGAUAGGACGAUUGAAUGUGUAAGAAAAAAGGACAGCAUUGCAUAUCCAUAGCUAUGAUGUGUAAGCAGAAGGCAUUUCAACAAAUUAGAAGCAAUGAAAGCUAGACACCGUAUGAAAGAUGCAAUGAAUAUCACUCUACGAAGUUAAAAUUGUCUCAUCAUAAGUGCAAUUUCAACAAAUUAGAAGUAGUACAAGCUAGAAAAGAAUGCGAGAUGUAACCUAUAUCACACUCCCAAGUCAAAUGUGUCUUAUGAUAAGUGAUUGUUGCAGGUUACACAACAUUAGUACUUUGAUGUAAGAACAUGGUGUGAUAGACAGAUAUUGUAUGUUUCUAGAAACAGGAACAUGUGUCUUAUUCACAAGUAUAAUGUGUAAAGUAAGCAGAUGGAAUUCAACAAAAUUAGAAGCAAUACAAGCUAGACAUCAUACAUAACAUGCAACCACAUAUAACAAUGCCAAGUUAGAGGGGGCACCUAUGAUGGUGCACUAGGGGAGACGUGCUCAUCAUCAACACAGCUACGUUGAGUGUCUAUGCAUGUGUUGUCUUGCAAAUCAUCUUGGGGGGGGGGUGGAGGAGUAGAAUCUGUAGAGGCCCUCCGUUUGAAAGGAGCACCUUUAUCCGCUGGCUUGCUAUUUUCCUUCCGCUUUAUUGGUUUUGAAUUGUCAAGUAAAACCGACAAGAAAAAGCAAUAAAAUUCACUCUUCAGAACUCAUUCGUGCAUGAUACUGACAAUCACUACUUUGAUGUAAGGCAAACACAUGAUACCAGGAUGGAAUAUGUACGAAAAACAGGAAGGCAUGGCAUAUCCACAACUGUUUGUGAUAACUAAGCAGAAGCCAUUUCAACAAAUAAGAAGCAAUGCAAGCUAGACACCACGUGAAAGAUGCAACCAAUAUGACUCUGCCAAGUUAAAAGCGUCCCAUCAUAAAUGGUAUUUCAACGAAUUAGAAGCAGCGCAUGCUAUAAAUCAUAUGAAAGAUGCAACUAAUAUCGCACUGCAUAUACUAAAGGUGUCUCAUCAUAUUGAUUGAUGCGGGAUACAAAAAAACAAUAGUUUUAUGUAAGGGCAUGCUUAAUAGACAGAUGUACUAUGUACUAAAAAUAGGAAGGCAUGUCACAAUAAUAGGUAUAAUGUAUAAACUAAGCAAAAUAGCACAUGCAAUUUAACCAGAUUGGAAGAAUUACAAUGUAGACACCCUAUGCCCCAUGCAACCACAUAUCACGCUCCCAAGUUAGAGCAAGCACCUGCGAUGCUGGUGUAGGGGAAAUGCGGUAAUCAACUACAGAGCUAUGUUCCCUAUCUUCAUCUAGCCUUGCUGUUUCUUGAUAAUCAUGUGGGGAGGUCGUUCAUAUAAAAAUAUCUUUCCUUAUCUUAAUAAAGACCGACUUCGGCCUUUCGAAUACAAGCUAGACACCAUAUGCAACCACAUAUGACACCGCGAAGUUAAAGCAAGCACCUGGGAUGGUGGUUCAUGGCGAGCGAGAUCAUCAACUCCAGAGCUACGUUUACCAUCUCCAUCUGUUGAACGUCCAACCUUUAAAGCACAGACACGUGUCUUGCCUGCCUGCGAAGCAAGCAUGAGCGAUUUCUCUCUUUUCUUUUCUGCUUCUGUCAAGGCAGAGUCUGAAAUACCCUUGCAUAAAAACACAAUAGUGAGAGUAUGGGUGAAGUGUGUGCAGAACUAGUGCACUGUAAAAGUAGCAGAUAGCAGGUGGCUGAAAAAUAAAUGACAGGAGACAUAUGAUAGCUCUACAACAUUGCAUGGCAAACAAAAUUAGAUUCUACUCAGUAUGAUUUUGUAAUAUAUGAGCACAGAGAUGGCUGGGAAAUGUAGGUACUCCUCUAGCACACCACCACAUGUGGUCCUUUCAAAAUAACAAUCGACUAAAAAUAAAUAGGUCAGUCGAUUUUUUUAUGAACCGUCCGAUCUAUAAGGAACGGGCAGAUGGCCUUCGUCUACCUCCCGCCAGUCACUGUUGAUGAUCUUUCUCGAACCGCCAACGACCACCGGCCCAGACCCCUGCCUUCGCCACCCCGCCCUCCCCUCGACCUCACACCACCGCCGUGCUUGGCAGCAUCUCCCGGCCAUCCCUUUAAUCCCGGCCAACCUCUAGAUCGGGCGCUAGCAGCUCCUAGGCCCCACACACCCCUAAGAUAAACACCGAGGCGCUGCUUCCCUGGCAUAAUAGGCGGACUAGCGCCUGUUACGCCGGGGAAUGCUUCCUUUAAUUGGGAAUCAACUGACCAGGAAUUCAAAUCCAAGGGGGCGACAGACCUCUAGCUAAGGUGAAAUAGUAUAUGAGGAGAAACCUUGUGCAUCGCGAGUCACUAGGAACAUCUAGUAUCAAGAAGAAGCGGUCAACUAGUGUCUUCUGUGGGAUGAAUACCGUGCAAGCAGACACGUAAGAUUUGCACGAGUAAGGGAAGAGGAGUACCAUUUUCCGGUUGCCAGUGCUGGGUCCUCCGGAUGUCGCGGCGAUUUUCUUGGUUUUACCUGGGGAACCGAUGUUUUGGAGGAGGGUCGAGCCUUGGACGAACCCAUGGCCAAAUUGUUGACUGUGUUGCGGUGGCCGUCUGUCGGCGGAUGGGAAGCAGAUCCGAGGCGGCGAAGGACGGUGUAGCGGGAACAACUCCGGUGCAGUGGAUGAUGGUGAAGUUGGAGCGGCAGUGGUGAGGCACACGACGGCGUGGUUGAACUGGCUCGGGUACGGACAGCUCGGCCUCGGCUUCAACUACUAGCCAUGGAGGGCGUUGCGGUUGCGGUUGCAGUGGACGACGACGUCGGGGUAUCGGCUCCGGCAUGAUGGAGGGCGGCGGUUGAUAGGUGGGAUGGGGUGGCGGACGGAGGACGCCGGGGUUUCACGGCUGGUGGAGAGGUAGUUUUGGCACCCACGGAGUACGAAUGGGGAAUCGGACAGGGGGCGGGGGGUGGGAGGAGCUAAGGGAGAACCAUGUUUCAGUCAGGGACGCGCUUGUUUUUGGUUUUUUUUGAACAAAUGGGACACGCUUGUUUGAAAUUUGGGGAAAGUACAAACUUUGCCCCCCUCGUAAAUUUCGGACCUACUGCGGGUGGGGGUAGGAUGGUAAUCCCAGGUGUCCCAAAUAGUGGGCGGGAGCGAUUUCAGCUGUGCACAUGUGUGCUUAGGCGGCCAUUGUGUAUAUAUGAAUGUUUUUCGGAGGUGGUUGCGUGGCAUCUAGAUGAAGCUACAAACAUACCCCGGUUUAGACCUUUGGACGCCGGGCCGAUAGGUUUCGCGGGUCGGAGUUAGAAAAGUAAUUUCCUUGUAGCAAACAUUGGUCUCACGCGGUUUCGGGCGAGUAGAGGCUCUUUUGGCGCUUCGUUCGAAAUUUUGAAACAGAAGCAUUCACGUUUAGAGUACUCCUGAACUUUGAGGAUUGACCUAAAUAGAAAACGUUAAAUUAGACCUUGUAUGUUUGAAAACCUCAUUAAAUUCUGCGCUUCUUUUUGAAAUUUUGACACUUGAAAAUCCUAUAACUAUGAUUAUUUUGGAAUGGAGGAGGUAAAUUUGAAUCUAUUUUGUACAGGACUAUAUAUGCUAUUAUGUACAAAAGAAGAGCAAAGAUUGAUGCCCCCAUAAUUUAGGUAUGAGUUACAAAUGCCAUGAUAUUAAAUUCAAAUAAUUGAAUGGACUUCAUGUUGAAUUCGAAUUUUUUAAACCACCUUAAGUUGAAUUAAAAUGUAUGCUAGUUCAUAGCUAGCUAUUUACAAUGUUCAUUGUGUAACUUUUGUAUGUAUAAUGUGCUUUACACACACAACAUGAACUAUACUCACGUUUAUAUUCGAUUGCUAAAGCGAUGCAUUGUCUGGAGUUCGCAAUACUAACUAUGUGGAUCAAUUAUGUCGAAUAAUAACAUAGACAUGCCCAAAUUUGAUAGAAUAUAGAUGUCUGAUGGAUCAAUGACCGUUCCUUACGCGAAUUGCAAAUAUCAUGAUCCAUCCUAAUAUUUGGAUACAAUUUAUAUUUUUAAUCAAUGUGUACAUCAGUCUUUUACGUGUAGUUUUACUCUCCAUCGGUGGUCUCUGGCACAUGCUCACACACUCUCUCCCGAGGUGUCUUUCUCGCAGACAUGCUCUCGAUAAAACCCUCCCUCCCUCUCGUAACCAUUUAUGACUGUUUUCACUAACCUUUAUCACAAGCAUUCUUCCUCUCACAAGCAUACAAACGCACAAUCCCCAUCGACCCUUUUUAUAUACAUAGACCUGCCUACGUGUCUCCCGUACGCACAUUAUCUUUAGGCCCGUCUCUCACGCAUUAUCUCCACCUCUCUUCCUAAUCGACGAGUAUGAUUCUAGCAGAGCAUUCUGUAGGAUGCCCCUUAAAGUUAGGCUGGAUGAAUAGUAAUAUCAGAGAUAAGGGGUUCACUUAGUCCGAUGACCUAGGGUUACAAAUCCUAGCUGGCUUUGUCAGUGGACACAGAGUCCUUCAUGACUCUGCUAUCUUUGUCUUGUACGACUAGUCCUCCAUGGGUCUCCCUAAAUGCGUCACGGGCCGACCAAUGUGGCGCAGGACGGAACCGAACCAAUGGCCUCACCUCGGCCCACCGGACCUCACGCGGUGACACACCCUCUGCCCCUAGGUCUGUUAUCUUCUCGCACCCACACAUACCAACACAGACAGCACACACAAAAAUUUCUCCUCGUGCCUCUAUCCCCUCCCCCCUUGCAUAUACACACUCAAGGGCAUCUCUCGCCGUGACAUCAUAUUCGUCUCUCUCUCUAGACCUCUCCCAUUUCUCGUGCUAUCUCUCCCACGCCCCCCGCCGGCCCCUCUAUCCAUGCCUCUCUCGAAUACGUAAUACACACACAUACCUCUCUAGGCCCUGCCAAAUACAUCAACUACACAUUCACACAUGUUACAUCACGUACCCCAUUGAUCUAAAAAGCCCUCUCUUCACGUUUAUUUCGCAUACAACAUUCCUUUUGAAUAAAGUGUGGCCAAAAACUUAUUUCAGAAUUUCUACAUAUAUACAACAUUACAAAGUUAUAUGGAGGAGUAUGAACGCUAAUUUGCAUUGCAUGGUGCCCACAAUGAUAUUUAUUCCGCACUGUGAAUUUUUAUAUUUUUAUACUAUAUAUAAAGUUAGUCAUAAUAAAGAGAAACGAAGAGCGUCUCUCUCUCCAUCGCAUACACCCCCUCUACGCCCCUUUCACGUAUGCACACAAACUAUCUCCAGGUCCUCUAAAAGCACGCCCCCAGCACAUUCAUGCAUGUUUCAUCUUUCUCUCGCGAUAUAUACAGUGACGAUCAUUGUAUUUGAAGCGAAAGAACAAUACGUACAUUGUACUUUAGAAUCCACUCAUUACGGUCAUCAUUUACGUUUUGUGGUUAUUAUAGAGUCACAGGCUCACCGUAUAGCUCUGUAUUUGCUCAAGACACGACUAGUUGACCAGUUAAACGCUCCACAUGGCACCUCUAGUGUUGCAUCACAUUGUCUCACUACCAUUGGGCCCACCUGUCGGCGUGUAUCUACUCUACACUCUUAUAAAAAACAGAGUUGGUGAUGAUGGUGUGCCUGCCAUCCUGCAAUAUAGGACAUCCGAUUUAUAUCUGACAGAUAGGAAGGAAACUAUGGCAAUUUUGCAAAAAGGUACCCACACAACUCUCCACAUUUGCAAAUAAAGCCUUCCCUCUUUCAUCCUUUUCCCUCACAAGAUAAACUACUCAUACAAAUGCAUCUUGAUGUUACGUGCAACGCACGGGCAUCUUGCUAGUAAGAAUGAAAACAAACGAUAAAAAAUAUUGGACGGUGGUUCGAAGUCAUGACCGUGGGCACAACGGACAGGGUGACCUUGUAUUCGUAUGCUGAGCCGUCUGUUUCAACACACAGGAGCUGGUGUGGUGAUUAUACACACACACACACGCAUGCACACGAACUGCAUGCACGCAACACUCACACGAACACACGCAGCCACACACGCAACACUCACACGUACACACGUAGCCACGCACGCACGCAACACUCACACGCACACAUGCACGCAUGCAUGCACACACCACACGACCAACAGACACUCUCACGCUCAAGUGCUCAACCUACACGUGCAUACGCACACAUCAGGCCCUGACAAACACAUACACAACCAGGUGGUUCCCACACACGGGUUGGAGUCUUGUCACACCUGCGUAAAUUUGUGUUUAUCUGACCUUUUUCCUAUGCGAACUGACAGGUGGGACCCACAAGGAACAUGGUCAAUUUAACUAGUCAACAUAGUGCCACACAGACUAUUUGGCCGGUCAACACAGUGCAAUCCAAUUCUGAACAGUGAGCAAAUGACCGUAUAAUCACCGCAAAACGUAUAUAGUGACCGUAAUGAGCGUAUUCUGAAGUUCGGUGACCGUAUUACGCUUUUCUCCCUGUAGGCCCUCCAAAACUACAUCUCUACACGUUCUCGCAUGUUACAUCUAACAACUAUGCAAUACAGCAGUACUACUACCCUGUAACACAAUAAAUCAUAUGUGUUUUUAGUUUUACUAGAUCUCAUAUUGUUACUUAAUUAUUCAAUUUGCAUACAUUAAAAUUGCCUUUGAAAUGUAUGGCCAGUAUCAUCUACCGCGCGAAAAAAUCCGGCCCUUUCCUGUUUAAUCGGGUUUGUAUCGAUGGAUCGUGCGAAACAACAAAACUAUAGUAGUACUACAGUACAAGUAAUAGUUUGCUGGCCGCCGUGUCGUGUACUCCUCCGUCGUAAGAGUGGAGCGCUCGCUUUCAUAAAUGUUCUAGUCCCUUUCACCGACAUGUGGGACAUCAAGCUACCGGGUCCACGUGCCAUACCGGAAUACAGUGCAGAGCAGCAGGGGUGAAGCACCCCAGUCAUGGUGCCGGCAUAGUAAUGAGCAAUGAGGCAUCAAAUCACAAAGCUGCACCUUUCCCGCAGUUAACUUGGAGGGACGAAGUAAUAAUGCUAAAAGAAGAAGUUGGAGGGAUGAAGCAACCAUCAUUUCACUCAUUGCUGAAUCCGCUUCUCCCUCAUCUUCUUCAAGUUAACCACGUGUUGCUUCUGCCGUUGUUCUACCUCAUGUGGGAUGCGGAUCAGUUUGGUAAAGCACUGACACGUGGGACCGCAUGUUAGCAAACUGCCAGGCCAACGUCCUCUAAAAAUAAGAAACCUCCCGCGCCAUUCGCGUGGGAAAAUCACCUCCUUUUUACUAAUCUUGAUACUAUAAUUUUUUAGAUCAAUAUAAUUGAGAUUUGUAUAGACAGCACACAGGAGCAAAACCAAGUGGUACGGUUAAGGGCAUCCACAGUGUGUAGCCAAAUGUGAAAAUAGCUUUUGGCAUCGAUGGGAACCAUUGUGGACGGUGCUGCCAAAGCCAAAAAGAUGGAACCGAAGCUCCCUGAUUGAUUGAUUGAAGGAAUAGAAAAUUGCAACGUCUCUCCUCUUUCUCCCGUGCUUGGACGCAUGUACAUGAUAGAGCACAGAGUCUACUCCCCUGUCCCUUCUAUCACAAAUCACAAAGCAGCGAGGCGUCAAAUCACAAAGCACGAACGAAGCAACCAUCAUUUCACUCUUCGCUGACUCCGCUUCUCCAUCGUCUUCUUCGAGAAACCACCUCACCGCACUAAGCUGGACGGACGAUGCUAUUGUGUACUAGUACUAGUACAUUUACGCGUCCUUUGGUUCAACGGACUUCCUAGAUGCAAAUAAGGUGGUUGUCUCGGCUUGCAGGCGGCACUUGCGAACGACUUACCGUGGUCUCCCUCAAUGGUGUUCUCCAUCGAACGCACUUCGCCAAACCACAGCGUUCAAGAUAUCGUCGAUGUCACCGCAAUGGGGAAGGAAGUCAAAUAGUUACUACCUCCAUUUUUUUGUACACAAGGCCAGUAUAUCAAAAUUACAAUUUGUAGAAGGCCACUAACACUAAUCGAGGCAAAAUUGACGGGGUUUGCCUCGUACUAGCAACCAAGGACAUUAACAUACCAUUGCAUGCAUGCGGAAGUGAGAAGGUUGGUUUGCAUGGCGCUGCAUUUAUCAAGCGACGAGGAGUGAGAUGGUUAGCUCUUUGGGCUUUGGAGAAAAAAAUACGCAUUAAUUGACACAUCAAACGAGGAUUUGUAUCGAUUAAUCCUGCGAACGAAAACCCCGCCUUUAUUUUUUAACACUAGUACUCCAACGUACGUACUUGUAUCCUGUUUGGGUCUAGGCCUUGCAUUGCCAUACUUCGCCACACAUUUUUGCCAAGAUUGCCUAAAGUUUUCAAAAUGAAAAGGAGGUACAUUUGCGCACGGCUGUCGCGGUCGCACCGCACCCUCACACAGUCGCUCCUGCACGCCGCGGUCGCACCGCACCUUCAUAUAGUCGCUCCUGCAUGCCGCAAACCCAACCAAGGGAACGCACCCUCACUGACACGUGCUACCGCAUGUGAUCAAACCAAACUCAGCCAUCCUACCGCUGACACAUAAUUUUCGUUCAUACAAUAUGUUUAUCCAACCGCAUGUUGGGGAAGAUCCGUACGGCCCGUGCGAUGGUUUGUUGGGGAAGAAGAAGAGGUGAGGAAGAAGGGUUAGGAGAUGUAGGAUAUUCAUCCAACCGCCUGAAAUGGUCGACUGACCCAAAUGAUGAAAGUCAGGCGACUUGCAUAAAUAUAUGUUUUACACAGCAAAACAUCCCUAAAAACAACAACAUAAAGAAAAACUAUCACUACUCGCGGAACGAGACUGCCUCGUCGUCUUUGGCUGCCGGUGCGAACCAGCCGUACACUACAAAAAACGACACUUCCGUGAUGAUACGUGUUUGUCACAGUAGGUCACGUUUUCUAUCAUGCAUGUACAUCCAUGACGAUUUUAUGACAGAAUCAAGAUAUCAUACCUGUGCUGUCGUAGAAGUGUUCCAUGACAUUACCAAAAUUAUCAUCACGGAAGUGUCCACUUCCAUGAUGAUAAAUCACGCGUCAAAGAAGUGCUUUCGUCAAGGGUGACCGACACGUGGCAUCCACCGUAACGGGUCGCCGUUAAGCUAUCGGGUCCGGUUUUGGAUCCGAUAACCCGUUAACAGCCCGGACCAAUUGGAAAUUUCCACGUGUAAAAUUCUGAUUGGCUGGAGGAAACACGUGUCAGCUCGUCAGUGGGUCAGAUAGGCGCCUAUGAUAUGUCGACAUGUGCGCCGGCCCACCACUGGCCCAUUUAGCUUACAAAGGCCGGCCAGUUUUACUUAGUCAAAAGUUAGCGGGCUGGCCCAUGAAAAGCCUGUUAACGGUCUCUUUGCAAAUAACCCAUUUUACGGCCCGGUAACUCACGGCCCGUGAGGGCCUACCCGAAAUCGGCCCAACAACGUCAUGUGGGCCGUCGAAUAUAACACCAGCCCGUUUCACUUUCGGCCCAUGUAUGGCCCGUGACGUCUUUCGGCCCAUAUUGAGGCCUUCGUAUCUUUAGGCCCUUUAGAGGCCCACGGUGACUCUAGCCCAUAAUGAACAGUAAUUUUCUUUGUACCCAUUAACGGCCCAUGAUUCACAUGGGACAUUUCCAGCCCGUGUUAGCUUUCGGCCUACUGACGACCCAUACGUUCUUGGGCUCUUUUUCGGCCCUCGAUUUCUUCCGACCCGUUACUGGCCUGUUCCCCUAGUGGGCCAAAUUCGGCACGUGGCAAGAGUCGGCCCGUUUCUGGCCUGUUAACCCGUUGCGCCGUUUACAGCCCGUCCUAUAUUCUGGCCCAUUAACGAACUGUUAUGCCUAUGACAGAAUUAAGCCUUUGCUGUCCUCCGGCCUGUUAACGGCCCGUUACCGUGCUGGGUCGAUACCAAUUACGACCGUUUACGGCCCAUGUUGACCCAUUUAUCUGAUGGCCCGAGGCCCACCGAUUCUACGGCCCUGUUGGAGGCCCAUUUAUAGAUGGCCCAUAGGAGGCCCAUGGAUCCUACGGCCUGUAGCAGGGUCAAGGUUACCACGGUCCGUAUAUGGCCCAUGGUUGUUGCGGCCACUAGCAAACCAGGGAAAAAUAAGACUAGGAAAUAAAUAAGCCCGAAACUAACGCUAGGCUAUUAAGGCGAUUGCACAGAUUACAUCCACUCGGCAUCAAAGAUCGCCACCAGUGCAAAUAUAGGGAACACCCUACACUAUACAAAAAUGGCUUGCUAUUUUUUUCAGCCGGUGGCUGCAUGUUAAGAACAAAUUUUGUAUCGCAACAAAACAAAUUACAACUGUAAAACAAAAGGAAGGUUGGCAUAAAAGUUAACAGUCUGGCAGAUAAAUGCACCACCAGAAGUUCAAAAGCUCGGUUCAUUUGACCUGACUGUUACGUUUUCAUGUUGUAUUGUCCGAUGGAGCACCAUAACCUUCGCCUUCAUUUCUCCUAGGCUCCUAAACAACAUAGCAAAUGUCUGAUAGUCUGGUUUCAAAACCAUGCAUAUCUUGACAACAUCGAACGAUGUCUGUCCUUCUUUCACAAAGGGUCUGUGUUAGGUAAUGGACUUGUGUCUGGAGCGCAGAUAUAACAUUGUUUUGAGCUUGCAUAUCUUGAUCAUGAGGCAGUUUGGACGACAUUGCCUUAACAACCAACCCAGUAUUACGCAGGAACGUGCUUUUGGCAUUGUUAGUGGAGAGGUCCUGACCCACUGCAUCAAGAGGUGACAUUGCGGUUAUAGUUGCCUCGCCACCUUCAAAAGGUGGCGGUUCCACCAUUUUUUCCAUAGCUUGCUGAAAAGUUGAGUUUUUACAUUAGUAGUACCAGAACUGAAGAUAUUAAGGAGGAAGCAAAAUCAAACAAAAUAGCUUUGGUCUAUAUACAGAACUUAUUCUGGUGAACCCAUGUAAAAUAUUAGUUGUAUUUUACUGCAAAGUACAUAAUAAAACUAGGUUCCAAACAUAUGACCAUGUACCAUGGCUAAUGUAUUGUCUAUUUCUUCACAUUGUAUUGACAGCUAAGGAUAAAGAGACAAAGUUUAUAAUAUGGUAAGCAUAGUAUGACAUCAUUCAUAUCACAAAACAACUGAGAACAAACAAACAAACAAUUGUAACGUUGUGUGGGCAAGUCCAGCACGGAACCAGAUUAUAGAUCAAGAUCAAAGGAACAUCAAUCCUCUCUUUUAAACCUUAUAAGGUGCAAUGAUACGCUAAGACAAUUGUGUAUAAAAUUGAAAAGAGUAAUAGACAUUGGCUGCAAACCAUGCAGUUCAAGGCACGAGUCAGAGUAAGUAGUAGUUAAAAGGCAUGAGGAUUAAGGACUUACAACAGCAUCUUUGACUGGUGUAGUCAUGCCCUUCGUCUUGCUGGUGUGACAGUCCUUGAAGAUUUCCACAACAUUUGGUUCAGGUACUUUUUGGUCCUUGCGGGCUUUCCUCUUCAUUUGGAAGAAGUCAAUAUAGAUCUGAUAAUAUGGUAGACCGAAAAGAGUGAAACAACAGAUAAUUACAAGAGCCUCGCAGUGUGCAAUAUAGCUACGAGAUCCUGUCGUCUGUUGGAAUUUCACUUUCGUACGGUUGGCCUUGUUCUUUGAAUAGUUCACCUACAAGAAGAUAGAUUUGUGUGGCACAUGCGUAAAUAGGACUUCAACAUGUGAUCUGAUCACACAUAUAUAAUGUACCUGAUACUUCGGAUCAGACCAGUGUUUAACGAGGCCACUCCAGUCUUCAUCCGAUAUAUUUUCCACUGGAGAAGUUUGGGCAAGUUCACUGUUAGCCUUGCCUUCAAAGCGAGUUUUCCUCAAGUUAUACCGAUACUAUCGCAGAGCAGACUUGAAAACAUGGGUGCAAGCUUGUCUGGUUGCAUCAUCUUGGCUAUCCAACUUGAACCUCAUCUGUUGAAAAUUAUGGGAGUCUCAUUAUCAGCAACCUAGAAAGUAUGGGACAGAGCAAGAAAAUAUUACUAGUUUCCAUACAUAACCAUACUUACAGAUAAAUGGUCGAGGAAGGUGUUGAACUGGGUUUCAUCUUUGUCAUUCCUGUACUGAAUCCAUGUUGGGAGGAUACGUACAUGACACCUAACGGCAACCGCUGCCUCUGAUACUAACUUGGCUGACUCUGUAGCAUCACGUGGCCUUUUUAAACCUGCCUCAAAACGGAUUUCCAUUCUUCCUCCUCUAGAUUUAGUUAACCUAUCGAGCAUUAUCCCUAAUGUUUGUUUCCUCUUGCGACUAGGUGCUAGUCCAACAACGAACAUAGGAAGUGUUAGUGUACAUCAAACUGUGAGAUUACAUAUAAAUAAGCACGCAACUGUAACUUGACUCUAGCAACUACUCCCUCCAUCCGAAAAUACUUGUCGGGGAAAUGGAUGAAUCUAGACGUAUUUUAGUUAUAGAUACAUCCAAUUUUAUCCAUUUCUCCGACAAGUAUUUUGGGACGGAGGGAGUACCUUCUUCAUGUAGAAGCUCACAAAGCUCAUCUGAUCUUGCCAACUCAUCUUGUGUCAAGAGUGCUUCGGAAGUAGUGUCAGGUGGCAAGGGAGCUUGGGAACGUGCUGCUAGCUGAGUUGACCAACGAGUAACUCGUGCAGCUGGUGGUACUGUGGAAGGUGUUGCAACAACUAGGGUUGUCUCUGCUUGUUUGGUGGCAGCUAUUUGUUUCUGUUUGGCUUGUUCUGCAGCUCGUGUAGCACGGGAUACCCUGUUUGUACAAUUUUCCGCUGGACUUUGACCUUCUAUUGCACCAUCAGUACUAGCAGAAUCUGCAGGAUUCUUCCGCUUCCCUUUCCUAGUCAUUCUGUGUUGCUUCCUCUUUCUGUGUGCCAUGUUAAGUCAAGCCGACAAGAAAAAGAAUAACAAUUUAGUUCUUCAGAACAAAUUGAUGUGUGAUACAGAUGAACUGAACUUUGAUGUUAGACAACCACAUGAUAGGAGGAUGUAAUAUGUACGAAAAACGGGACGGCAUGAGAUAACCAGAACUAUGAUGUGUAAACUAAGCAGAAGACAUUUCACUAAAUUAGAAGCAAUGCAAUGGAAGUUAGACACCAUAUGAAAGAUGUUACAAAUAUCGCUCUGCCAAGUUAACAGUGUCUCAUCAUAAAUGGCGUUUAAAAAAAAUGUGAAGCAGUACAAGAAAUAAAUCAUAUGCAAGAUGCAAACAACAUCACACUACCAACUUAAAGGUCUCUCGUCAUUAGUGCCAUUGCAUAUUCACAGCAUCACAUAUUCACAGCUUAUGAUGUGUAAACUAAGGAGAAGGCAUUUCAACAAAUUAGAAGCAAUGAAAGCUAGACACCAUAUGAAAGAUGCAACGAAUAUCACUCUACCAAGUUAAAAUUGUCUCGUCAUAAGUGCCAUUUCAACAAAUUAAAAGUAGUACAAGCUAGAAAAGAAUGCGAGAUGUAACCUAUAUCGCAUUCCCAAGUCAAACGUGUCUUAUGAUAAGUGAUUGUUGCAGGUUACACAACAGUAGUACUUUGAUGUAAGAACAUGGUGUGAUAGACAUAUAUUGUAUGUUCUAGAAACAGGAACACGUGUCUUAUUCACAAGUAUAAUGUGUAAAGUAAGCAGAUGGAAUUCAACAAAAUUAGAAGCAAUACAAGCUAGACAUCAUACAUAACAUGCAACCACAUAUAACGGUGCCAAGUUAGAGGGAGCACCUGUGAUGGUGCACUAGGGGAGACGUGCUCAUCAUAAACACAACUACAUGGAGUGUCUAUUUAUGUGUUGUCUUGGAAAUCAUCUUGGGGGGAUGGAGGAGUAGAAUCUGUAGAGGCCCUCAGUUUGGAAGGAGAACCUUUAUCCGCUGCCUUGCUAACUUACUUCCGCUUUAUUGAUUUUGAAUUGUCAAGUAAAACUGACAAGAAAAAGCAAUAAAAUUCACACUUCAGAACUCAUUCGUGCAUGAUACUAACAAUCACUACUUUGAUGUAAGGCAAACACAUGAUACCAGUGUGGAAUAAUACAAAAAACAUGACGACAUGGCAUAUUCACAACUGUUUGUGUAAACUAAGCUGAAACCAUUUCCACAAAUAAGAAGCAAUGCAAGCUAGACACCACAUGAAAGAUGCAACCAAUAUGACUCUGCCAAGUUAAAAGCUUCCCAUCAUAAAUCGCAUUUCAACAAAUUAGAAGCAGCGCUUGCUAUAAAUCAUAUGAAAGAUGCAACUAAUAUCACACUGCAUAUACUAAAGGUGUCUCGUCAUAUUGAGUGAUGCGGGAUACAAAAAAACAAUAGCUUUAUGUAAGGACAUGCUUAAUAGACAGAUGUACUAUGUACUAAAAACAGGAAGGCAUGUCACAUUAACAGGUAUAAUGUAUAAACUAAGCAGAAUAUCACAUGCAAUUUAACCAGAUUGGAUGAAUUACAAUCUAGACACCAUAUGCAACAUGCAACCAUAUAUCACGCUGCCAAGUUAGAGCAAGCACCUGUGAUGCUAGUGUAGGGGAAAUGCGGUAAUCAACUAUAGAGCUACGUUCACUAUCUUCAUCUAGCCUUGCUGUUUCUUGAGAAUCAUGUGGGGAGGCUGACGCUGCAAUCUUUAAAUGAGGAUCUUUUCUCACAGUAGUCCACUGGCCUGACUGCCUCAUCAUAAGUGAUUGAUGAGGGAUACACAAGAACAUUAGUUUGAUGUAAGAACAUGGUUAAUAGACAAAUGUACUAGUAUGUACCAAAAACAGGAAGGCAUGUCAUAUUCAAAGGUAUAGUGUGUAAGCUAAGUAGAUGCAAUUUAACCAAAUUGGAAGCAAUACAAGCCAGACAUCUGGCUGGAGUGGUGAGCAUGAUCAUAUAGGACGUGAGAGCCUGGUGGGAGGCGGGCUGCUUCGCCACCAUCGUGGCUUUUUAGUUGGCUUCCAGGUGAUGACUGUCUGUGCUGGGCUUGUCACUGGCUCGGCCAGUGCCCUGACUAGCUAUUUGACUUCUGGUGCUCCCGGGAUGGUGGUUCAUGUAAAAAAUAGCUUUCCUUAUCUUAAUAAAGACCGACUUCGGCCUUUCGAAUACAAGCUAGACACCAUAUGCAACAUGCAACCACAUAUGACACCGCGAAGUUAAAGCAGGCACCUGGGAUGGUGGUUCAUUGGGAGCAAGAUUGUCAAAUCCAGAGCUACGUUUACCAUCUCCAUCUGCUGACACUGCACCCUUUAAAGUGCUGAAAUGUGUCUGGCCUACCCGCGUACAAAGCUGGAGCAAUUUCUCUCUUUUCUUUUCUGCUUCUGUGAAGGCAGAGUCUGAAAUACCCUUGCAUAAAAACACAAUAAUGAGAGUAUGGGUGAAGUGUGUGCAGAACUAGUGCACUGUAAAAGUAGCAGAUAGCAGGUGGCUGAAAAAUAAAUGAGAGGAGACAUAUGAUAGCUCUACAACAUUGCAUGGCAAACAAAAUUAGAUUCUACUCUAUAUGAUUUUGUAAUAUAUGAGCACAGGAAAUGCAUGUACUCCUCCAGCACACCACCACAUGUGGUCCUAUCAAGAUAACAAUCGACUGAAAAUAAAUAGGUCAGUCGAUUUUUUAUGAACCCCCCGAUCUAUAGGGAACGGGCAGAUGGCCUUCGUCUACCUCCCGCCAGUCACUAUUGACGAUCUUUCUCGAACCGCCAACGACCACCGGCCUAGACCCCUGCCUCCGCCGCCCCGCCCUCCCCUCGACCUCACACCACCGCCAUUGUCGGAUCUCGGGUUCCGGCAAAACCCUUAAGGUUCGAACUCUGGGGUGCGCGCGAAGAUCUCUCCCUCACAGAUCACGCCCUCACACGCUUCGCGAUCUCUAGGCUAGCUCGACGAACUCGCAACACAAGGGACACAAGAUUUAUACUGGUACGGGCCACCGUUGUGGUGUAAUACCCUACUCCAGUGUGGUGGUGGUGGAUUGCCUCUUGGGUUGAGGAUGAACAGUACAAGGGGAAGAACAGCCUCCUGAGGCGAGCUAUUCUUGUGCUUGGUGAACUUGUGUCGGUGAGGAUUACUCAAGAUGAGAUCGGGCUUAGUUGCCUCCUACUAUGGUGGCUAGUCCUAUUUAUAGAGGCCCUGGCCCUCUUCCCAAAUAUUGAGCGGGAAGGGAGCCAACAACGGCAAUUUGAAAGGGGACAACUAGUACAAGCUAUCCUGACAAAAGCAGUCUUCGCCUGCAAAAGGCUCUGGCCGUGACGCUGUCUUGGGCUCCACGGUGACCUCCGUCCUGCCGUCAUGCUGGUCUUGGUCUCGUUGCACCGAUAUGGCAACCUUUGCUUGACGCCUCGGUACUCCUCGCCUGUGCUUGCCUCCUUAGCACCAAAGAAAAAACAAGGACACUGUGCGUGCUGGUGCCCGCCUGGUCUCGAUCGUCACGGCUCACGUCACUGGAACCUCGCGAGGUUUGCCUUGCCUUGAUAUCUCCGCCCCUCGCGAGCCAGCCUGGUGAGGCCACUCCCGAGGAGGUCUUGUGUCGUCCGCCUCGCGAGGCUUGGCCCCUCGCGAGGGUCUUGAAAGCUUGUCGGUGAAGAUGGGCCGUACGGGCCCGCUCGCAGAGCCACGCCGUGGGCCGCAGGCAAGCAAGUCUGGGGACCCCCGUUCCCAGAACACCGACAGUAUCCCCCGGGCCCAAGGCGCGCUCGGACAUGGCUUCGAGGCGAAGCCAAAGGGCAAGUGCGGAGCACCGCGGGCCCCAACAGCCUGCGGCCUUGGUCGAUGCGUGGCGGUUGAUUGGACGUGGGCGUCUCCGCUUCCCCACGCUGCCUCGGCAACUGCCCGACUUGACAAGUCCCUGGGAGAUGCAAGGAAAAACCAUCAUUACCUGUGAUCGUGGGGGCGCUGGUUGGCCUUCUCCUGCUAUAAAUGGGGAGUGGGGCAGAGCCCCCAUUGACCGUCUCUUCCUGCUCCACUUGCUUCUCCUCCCUAGCCCCAUUGCUAGCAGCGGCACCAAUGGCGCUGUCGAAGGGGUUCUCCGCCGCGGAGAAGGGGAAGGCCCCUCGCGAAGGGCCCGACUCUCCGAUGCCCAAGCGCGGACGUGGCCGUCCCCGCAAGCACACCGCGACCCCCCACGGCCGCGGCGGUGCUGCUUCGCGUGGCAGGGGUCGCUCCGGCCGCGACAGCCCUGUUGAUGAAGGGAGACGCGCCGUGGUCGCACGGCCUCCCCGGCCGCGCUUCCACUCGGUGAAGGUGCUGACGGAGUUCGUUGUCUGGUUGGAGGACCCGGCCGGCAACUGGCUUCAGCUCCCGCGCUUCUUCGUUGACGAGCUGCCGGCCGCAGGUCCAGGCGGACGGCUGCUGUAGCAGGGCUUCCUGGGUCACGGUUGAGGUCUCUAUCGCGGGCAACAUAGCCCUGGCCCACGGCUGGCAGGCAUUUGCCUGUGCGCGCGGCCUGGGCAGCUGGUGCACCCUUCAUUUCAAGUACGACGGCGAUGCGACCCUCUACGUGAGGGUGUUUGGGGAAGAUGGUCGCCGCGCCGGAUGCUGCCCUGAGGUCAACGACGGCGGCGAGGUGCUCGGCCUUGGCGAUGGUCGUGACGAGGAUGAGGGCGAACCUGCCCUUGGCGUCGACCGCGUCUCGUCCAGCUAUGGCGGCUCUUCCCCCGGCGACAGCUCCAGCAGCGGUGGUUACGACCAGCCGCCGCGCCCGCUUCAAAGGUGGCAGCGGGUCAUCUCGUCAUUGCGCUCCUGUGAAGCGCGAGGAGGGGUCUAGCUGAGCUUGGGUCAGCACCAAGGGUCUGCCUUCGCGGUCCACCACAGGGGCACGCGCCGCUUUUAUCUUGUUCUUCCUUUCCUUCCUGUAUUAAGAAAGAAACCGGUAUGGGGCCCCGGAGGGGCGUGCAACGAACUAUGAUUUCCCAGUUAUUAUGCUAUGUUCAUCGUUGUUUUAUGUAAGGAUAACUUAGCUUGACGUGCUUGGAGCAGUCUCCUCUCCAUGAGAUGCUCGCUUCUUGGUGCCUGGCGAGGCCCCCUUGGCCUGGUAGACGCUUAGAAACUGCAGAAAAAACUCGUUAGGAGGCUUAACGUUUCCCGAGCCUUGGUCGCAGGCGCCGCCGGCCUUGACCCUGCGCUUUGUAUCGCGGUACCCAUGGGGCACAGAUUAUAAGAAGUGCGCCAGCUUGUGGGCUCGAACGACGGUGCCUCGCGAAAAGCAGACGAAAGGCAGAACAAGAAAAAACGCUCACGAGGGAAGGAAAACGUUCACGAGGGCACCUGUCCAGCCCCCUCGCGAGGAAUGCGAGAGAGAGUACAGGCCAAGCCAAAGACGGAAAUAGAGGUAGAAGGCAACGGAACCAAAUCAGCCGAGAACACCCGAAGCAAACUUCAAUUAAAGAGGGGCGAGCCAACUAAGGAAAGCAAAUGAAAAGCCGCGUCCAGCACCUAGUCUAGUCUUCAAGUCUUCUCACCAGCACGGAGCUAAGUGCUGCCACUAGGACGUGGGAGGGAGCCCCCGAGGCCCGAGGGCGGCACUCCUGAGACUACGGGGCGUGUACAUCCCCACUCAUUAUUAUGUGAGAGUGUCAUGAGCGGAGACCUUCACAGGCACUGGGCCUUCUUCACAGGCGCUGGGCCUUUCUUUAUGGGUAGAACUUCCGGAGGUGUUGGAUGUUCUAGGUGUUCUAGAUGGGUACCCCGUCCUGUGUCUCCAGGCGCGCGACGCUAGGCCUGGAGACAUGGACGACCUUGAAUGGGCCCUCCCACACGGGUGAGAGCUUAUGCAGCCCUUCCCUGGAGAGGACCCGCCUCAGGACGAGGUCACCCACCUCGAGCGUCCUGGGGCAGAUGUUGCGGCAGUGGUACUGCCGUAGCGCCUGCUGAUACCUUGCCGCCCGCAGUGCAGCUUCGCGGCGGCAUUCCUCCCCCAGCACGAGGUCCAUCCCCCGCGUGGCGUCCUGCUGCGUUUCAUCAAACGCCAGGACCCGUGUGGAGCGAUGCUUGACCUCGUGAGGGAGGGCCGCUUCUGCUCCGUAGACGAGGAAGAACGGGGUCUCGCCCAUUGGCUUGGUGGCGGUGGUGCGGAUGGACCACAGCACGGACUGGAGCUCGUCAUACCAGCCCCUGCCGCAGGCCUCGAGCUUCUUCUUGAAGGUCCUGGUCUUGAGGCCCCUCAGGACAUCUGCGUUGGCGCGUUUGGCCUGUCCAUUGCUCCUGGGGUGCACCACCGAAGCGUAGCAGAUCUGCGUUCCAAGGUUAGCACAAUAUGUCCUAAAGAGAUUACUAGUGAACUGCGAGCCGUUAUCAGUGAUGAUGCGGUUGGGGACCCCGAAAUGGCUCACGAGACCCUUGAUGAACUUGACCGCGGAGCCAGCUGGGAUGGUGCGGGCGGCUUCUACCUCCGCCCACUUGGUGAGCUUGUCGAUGGCGACGUAGAGGUAGCGGUAGCCCCCGGGCGCUCGAGGAAACGGGCCCAAGAUAUCCAGCCCCCAGACCGCGAACGGCCAUGUGAGUGCGAUGGUUUGGAGGCCCUGAGCCGGCUGAUGAAUCUGCUUGGCGUGGAACUGGCAGGCCUCGCAAGACUUCACCAGUUCAGUCGCGUCGUUGAGUGUCGUGGGCCAGUAGAAUCCACUGCAAAACACCUUGCCGACGAGGGUUCGUGAUGAUGAGUGGUGCCCGCAGUCCCCGCCGUGUAUGUCGGCCAGCAACUCUCUUCCUUGCUCCCUAGAGAUGCAACGUAGGGAAACGUCAUUUGGCCGCUUCCUGUAUAACUCACCGUCCCGGAUGCAAUAUGCCGUGGCUUGUCGGGCCACACGCUGCAUGUCUUCCUCCUCUUCCGGCAGCGUCCCUUGCGUCAGGUAUUCCUUUAAUUCCUUGAUCCAGCAUCCCUCCUGAGGUUCGAGCGCCAAGAGCAAGCGCGCUCCUGAGGUCGGGCCGCAGGCCGGGGCUCCUGAGGCAGGUGGUUGAGGGAGCUCCUCGCGAGGCAGCGCUGUCCUUGAGAGCGGUGGCGUUGCUGAUGGCUUGAAGAGCCGCUCCUCAAAGACGCCAGGCUCUUGGGGUAGCCGCUUGGAUGCUCUUCUGGCGAUGUCGUCAGCUUCCUUGUUGGUGCCACGGGCACAUGCUGUAACUCCAGACCUGAGAACUGCUUCUCCAUCUUGCGCACCUCCGCGAGGUAUGCCUCCAUGUGCUCGUCCUUUGGCUCAUAAACCUUGUUGGAGAAGUUGACGAGGAGCUGCGAGUCGCCCUUGAUGGUGAGUCGCCUCACCCCCAGGGCCACCGCAGCCCUGAGGCCAGCUAUGAGGCCUUCGUACUCUGCUAUGUUUUUGGAGACCUUCUCGCCCUGCUGGAAGCAGAGCUGCACAGCGUAGUAGAGCUUGUCCUGGGUGGGCGAGAUGAGCACCGCUCCAGCCCCCGCGCCCUGGCGUGAGAAUGCGCCGUCGAAGUACAUGACCCAGCCGUCCGGCGCCUCGCUUCCUGGAGAUAGGGAUUGGUCCUCACCUGCUUCGAGCUCUGGGGCGUCGGUCCAUUCAGCCACAAAGUGUGCAAGCGCGGCCCCUUGAUGACCCUAGUUGUGCUGAACUCCAAGUCAAACGCUUGCAGCUCGAUGUUCCAUUGAGCGACUCACCCGGCAGCAUUGGGGCUCCUGAGCACUCUUUCCAGUGGGUAAGCCGAGACGACCUUGAUGGGGUGACCCUGGAAGUAGUGGCGCAGCUUGCGCGAGGCCACCAGGAGCGCGAGCAGGAUCUUCUGAGGCAUGGGGUACCAUGCCCUCGCAUCCCGCAUCACUGUGCUGACAAAGUACAUCGGGUGCUCGACGAGGGCGGGAGAGCCGACGAAGUAUUCGGCUUCCGGGAGCUGAGGUGUCUCUGCGAGGGCUUUAUCUUCAGGGGCUUGGUGGUCCGCUGAAGCAGCAGCUGCUUCAGGAGCUUCGCCUUGGUGUCGCACCGCUUCGUCCGGCCCUGUGGUUCCCCCUAGCGGGCCCUUGAUCUGGCGCUCUUCUCUGAGGGCCACCAGCGCUGCGCUGGCGGAGUGGGGUGUGGCAGACAGGUAGAGCACCAAGGGCUCGAGGGGUCGAUGCGCCACCAUCACUGGCGGGCUGGUCAGGUAUCUCUUGAAGUCUUGAAAUGCUUGGUCGGCCUCUAGAGUCCACUCGAAUGGGCCCUUUUUCUUCAUCAGCUUGAAGAACGGUAGGGCACGCUCUCCCAGCUUGGAGAUAAAGCGGCCCAACGCAGUCACACGACCAGUAAGCUUUUACAUCUCCUUGAGGGUCUGCGGCGGGCUCAUGUCUUCGAUUGCCUUGACCUUCUCUGGGUUCGCCUCGAUCCCUCUGUGGGAUACGAGGAAACCCAGCAGCUUGCCGGAAGGGACACCGAACACGCACUUCUCCUGGUUGAGCCGUAAGUUCACCUGGCAUAGGCUUGCGAAAGUCUCCUCCAGAUCUUGGAUCAAGGUUCUUGCCUCCCGAGACUUCACCAUGAUGUCGUCGACAUAGGCCUGUGCGUUUCUCCCGAGCUGCCGCCCUAAGGCGAUGUGCAUCAGCCGCUGAAAGGUCACGCCUGCAUUGCGCAGUCCGAAUGGCAUGCAAGUAUAGCAGUACACCCCACACGGGGUCAGGAAGGCGGUCUUCUCCACAUCUUCUACCGCCAUCUUGAUCUGGUGGUAGCCCGAGAACGCAUCUAGGAAGCACAUCAAAUCACACUCUGCGGUGGAUUCGACGAUCUGGUCGAUGCGUGGAAGCGGGAAGGGAUCUUGGGGGUAGGCUUUGUUGAGGUUGGUGAAGUCGACACACAUGCGCUCCUUCCCACCUUUCUUCGGCACAACAACGGGGUUCGCCAGCCACUCGGGGUACCGAACUUCGCGAAUGGCACCCGCCGCCUCCAGCUUGCGGGUUUCUUGGACGAUGAAGGCCUACUUAUCCGUGGACUGUCUUCUCGCCCGCUGCUUCACAGGGCGUACGUUGGGGCACACCCUUAAGUGAUGCUGAAUCACCUCUCUCGGGACCCCCGCCAGCUGCUUGGGUUCCCAUGCGAAUACCUCCUUGUUUGCGCGCAAGAACUUCACCAACGCUUCCUCUUGGUCAGGGUCGAGGUUAACACCUAUGGUAAAGGUGGCUCCCGAGGACCCGUCCUCAUCGACGGGCACCUGCUUGGUUUCUGCCUUGUCUUGGGUGAACAACUGCUUCUUCUUGGUUGGUGCGGCUCCCUUGGCCUCGGAGGCGCCUGCGCCGACGUGCUACGCCGCCGCGGCGGUCUUGAAAGCAAGCUUGAGCGUGAGCAGAGCCUCCUUGGUGUCCCCCUCGACGGUGAGGACGCCCUUGCUCCCAGGCAUCUUCAUGAGGUUGUAAGCCGGAUGGUUUGCUGCCAUUAACUGGGCCAGAGCUGGGUACCCGAGGAUGGCGUUGUACAGGAGGCCGAUGCGGGCGAUGUCGAAGUCGACCAGCUCGGUGCCGUAAUUGACGCGCGUGCCGAAGGUGACAGGAAGGCGGAUCUGCCCCAGGGAGUGGGCGGUGUCGCCGCCAACUCCUGAGAAGGGCUUGCUGAGGCGGAGCCGCUCGAGUGGUAUGUGAAGGAGGCCGAAGGCUUCCACGGAGAGCACGUUGAGGCCGGCGCCACCGUCGAUGAGGGUCUUGGUGACGGCCACAUUGCAGAUGGUGGGAGUGCAAAGUAUUGGGAGCAUACCUGAGCUGGCGGUGGAGACGGGAUGAUCCCCUGAGUCGAAGGUGAGGUCGGCCUCAGGCGCGGCCCAGCCCGGUGGAGCCCCCGGGCGCUUGGAAGCGGCGCCAAUCUGGCGAAGGAACGACUUGAUGUGGCGGUCCGAGGGCGGUGCUUGCGAGCCGCCGAGGAGGGCCGCGACCGCGUGGGGUGCCGGUGCCGCGAAGCGCGCGACGAAGAGAUCGUGCAGCUCCUCCCAAGAUGCCACUGUGGAUCCGGGGAGGUUGAGCAGCCAGGCGCGCGGCACACCGGUCAGGGCCAUGGGGAGACAGUUGACCAUGACCUUGUCGUCGUCUCCGGCGUUGAGGACGGCUUCCUCGUAUGCUAGCAGGAAGGCCACCGGAUCCGCCACGCUGUCGUAGCGCGGCGACAUCUCCGGUUUGAACUUGGAUGGCCAUUGCACCCACCGCAAGGUGGGAGCAAGGGCUCGGAGCCCCCUGGCCCUAUCGCCGGCAUCGGUCGCCGGAGCAGGAAGCACUGCGGUCGCCAUGGGGGCGGAGCGCGGUGGCAGCAUGGAGCAGAUCAAGGGAAGGAAAACUCCGGCGCACCCCUACCUGGCGCGCCAAAUGUCGGAUAUCGGGUUCCGGCAAAACCCUUAAGGUUCAAACUCUGGGGUGCGCGCGAAGAUCUCUCCCUCACAGAUCACGCCCUCACACGCUUCGCGAUCUCUAGGCUAGCUCGACGAACUCGCAACACAAGGGACACAAGAUUUAUACUGGUUCGGGCCACCGUUGUGGUGUAAUACCCUACUCCACUGUGCUGGUGGUGGAUUGCCUCUUGGGCUGAGGAUGAACAGUACAAGGGGAACAACAGCCUCCUGAGGCGAGCUGUUCUUGUGCUCGGUGAACUUGUGUGGGUGAGGAUUGCUCAAGAUGAGAUCGGGCUUAGUUGCCUCCUACUGUGGUGGCUAGUCCUAUUUAUAGAGGCCCUGGUCCUCUUCCCAAAUAUUGAGCGGGAAGGGAGCCAACAACGGCCAAUUUGAAAGGGGACAACUAGUACAAGCUAUCCUGACAAAAGCAGUCUUCGCCUGCAAAAGGCUCUGGCGGUGACUGUCGGUGUCAAAACCGGCGGAUCUCGGGUAGGGGGUCCCGAACUGUGCGUCUAAGGUCGAUGGUAAUAGGGGACAGGGGACACGAUGUUUUGCCAGGUUCGGGCCCUCUCUAUGGAGGUAAUACCCUACUUCCUGCUUGAUUGAUCUUGAUGAAUAUGAGUAUUACAAGAGUUGAUCUACCACGAGAUCGUAAUGGCUAAACCCUAAAAGUCUAGCCUGUAUGACUAAGGUAAUGAGUAUCCCCCCUUCCGGACUAAGUCCUCCGGUUUAUAUAGACACCGGGAGGAUCUAGGGUUACACAAGGUCGGUUACAAAGGAAAAGAAUCUACAUAUUCGGUCACCAAGCUUGCCUUCCACGCCAAGGGAGUCCCAUACGGACACAGGUGCAGUCUUCGGUCUUCGUAUCUUCACAGCCCAUCAGUCCGGCCCAUGGCUAACAGGCCGGACGCCCGAGGACCCCUUAGUCCAGGACUCCCUUAGUAGCCCCUGAACCUGGCUUCAAUGACGAGGAGUCCGGCGCGCAGAUUUGUCUUCGGCAUUGCAAGGCGGGUUCCCUUCUUUCCGAACUCCAAGAUAGUCUCCGAACAUGAUGAUUGUAUCCGGACCUGUAACACACACCACACACAACCGCAGAGAGAACAUAAUAUUCCACGGGUCCAAUCGAUUGACAACAUUUUACAACGUGACAUCACGCCUGCCCGGUCAUGAUUUCGGACCGUUGUUUCGCCUGCGGCCCCGCGUUCCGAAACGUGGUUGUCAUUGACACGUCUUAUCCAAGUGGAGAUCGUGUCCCCUUAUUAAGGGAUUAUUUUAUCGACACGGACGUGGGUAACUCAACCGUCCUUAGGGUACAACUCCUUGGGAAUAGGCAAGGUUUAAGGCCCGGGAGGAGGCGUUCGAUAUUCACAGCCUUUAUAAAGGGGUACAGACCCGUGUUUCUUCUCCACGCUUGCUUCUUCCUCAACCCUUACUACCUCAAGUUCCAACACCCAAGUUUCAAUCUCCGUGAGCCUCAGUCAUGUCCGGACCCAGCCGUCAAGGCCGGUGGUGGCUUCUUCUUUCACAGAGGAGGACAUCGUGAAGCUUCGGGCGGCAAGAUAUCUGACCGCAGAAAUCCUCCAUCGGCUUCCCGGGGAAGGGCAGAUUAUCCCUACCCCUAGAUCCGAUGAGAGGGUCGUGUUCAUUUCCCACUUCCUUCGAGGUUUAGGGUUCGCCCUUAAUCCCUUCGUCUGAGGGCUCAUGUUCUAUUAUGGACUUGAUUUUCACGAUCUCGCCCCGAACUCUGUUCUCCUCAUCUUGGCGUUUAUCGUCACGUGCGAAGCCUUCCUCCGAACUCCUCCACACUUCGGCUUGUGGCUCAAGACCUUCAAUGUGAAACCACAAGUGAUAGAGGGGAGCAGGCGGAGUGCGGUGGUGCCUCAGUGAGCAAGCUUACCAGCGCGAUUUGGCUAAAAGGAUCCUUCAAAGAACCUUCCGACUUAUGGCAGCAGGAGUGGUUCUAUAUCACCGAGCCCCGUGGUUCCAAGUGGGCAGCUGGGCCUGCGUUUCGAUCCAGCCCCCCGAUUCAGUUUGCAUCGUGGAUUAAUAAGGGGUUAGACCGAGGGUCAGUUGACGAGGUGCGAACUCUGCAAAGUCGCAUCCGAAGCCUCAUUGAAAAGGAUAUCAAUAUCGCCAACGUUAUUCACAUAAUGUUAGUCCGCCGGACCCUACCGUGCCAGCGACGGCCUCUCCACCUGUGGGAGUUUAACCCAGAAGGGCCACAGACUCUUCAGAUCUUCUUCGGCACUACGCACGAAGGAAUGUGGGAAUUAUUCUUUGGGAGAUGAAAACAAUGGCCGGACACCACCGAAGAUACUGGCCUAGACUGUAACUAUCCGGACACCCCGGUAAGUACUCAUCCGCCGAACACCUCAUAAUCAGAUAUCCUACGAUAAGAUACUGAGCAAACCAUCCUUUUCCUGGGCUGGAUAAAGAAAGCGGAAUGGAUUAGGUGUCCGGCCCCUCUUCCCGAAGACUCAGCAGACUCCGUGUUAACAUGGAUGCUGGCACCGGCACCGUACCAGAUACCGGCAGGGGAUGGCAAGGUGGAGAGUGAGAAGACCCGGGAUGAACUUCGUUCCAGAGGUAAAUCAGAUACUGAGUCCGGAGAAAUCGACAUUUCCUCGCCCGAAGACGAAGGCGAAAGAGAAGCCAGUAUCCCUUCUCCAUUUAGGACGAAAAGGACCGCCUCCAAAGGUUGGGAGGGGCGGUCUCCUAAGAGAGGCCAGAUGCCACUGUCGAGCGGCUCGGGAUUCGAAGGCGAUGCCAGUGAACAGCUCCGUCAUGAGGACAAGCCCUCGACCAAACCGUAAGUGAAUCCGGGGUACUUUGAUAGCGUCCCGCUUCUUUCCUGUUACCGAAGAGAUACGUAACGUGCCUGUGUAUUUUUACAGUCCGGCAUAGAGUUCUUCUGGGCACUCCUCUUCUUCGGGAGAUCUCCUCCCAGAGAUGAUGGAAAGCGAGACGCCUCCCCCGACCUCCUCACCCAAUAAGGCAGACGACUCCGAAGUGUCAUCUCGGAGGGUUAUUCUUGAUCAACAAGCGGUGCAGGGGAUAAAGGAGGCAGUACCCGAAGGUGGACCUCCAAUCGUUCGGGAUUCGGGGGCCAAUAAUGAAGGCCCCGGACUGUCCGGUUUUCAGCCAACGAUGAUUCUGGAGGCAGGUGAACGGGUUCCUUCAAAGGAUGGUCGUGCUCCCAGAGCGGCUUCCGGAGACCCGGCGACACCGGAUAUAUUGUCGGACAUUCUGCAAAAAGCAUCUGUCUCAGAGGAAUAGCGUACCUUGAUGGGUACGGUGGUUGAGAAGAUUCUGUCCGUGAAGAGCGGAUUGAAUGAAGCCUUCACGAGCCUGCUAAGAGGCUUCGAGGUUUGUAAUAUAAUGUUUUCAACAAUAUUUUAUUUGCAAAGAUGCACCUGUGUAUAGGUAGUAGCCCCUGAGACUCGGGUUGGCUCCACAUGGGAGGCGAAUGGAGGAUCAAGAAUAAAUACUCAAGGACUAAUCUGGUUAACUGAAACACAGGCUGCUUCCUCCCUGGCUACUUCCCAAACUAUGGAUAUUGCCGAGCUACAGCGAAAGCUUGAUGUGGCAGGGGAUGACAUUGCGUUAAUCAAUAUGCGCCUGGACGAGUCGCAAGGUAUGUAUUUGGGGCAGUCCCCUCACAUACAUUUUUGUUAUAUAAGCAUGAUGCUGAAGGUUAUAUACUGGAAUAUGCAUGACUGCAGAUGGUGCUGCCGCCGUUGAAAUUCUUCGGGCGGAGCUGGCCCGGGCCAAGGAGCAGGCCUGGUUUAGUAAUGCGGCUGCCGAGAAGGCAUCAGCUGAGUUGAAAGCUGAACAAGUUGCUCGACGCCAAGACGAGGAGAAGAUAUCCACGAUGAUGCUCGAAUUAAAAAAUGCUGCUAGCCGCUGUGAACUUCUUGAGAAGGAAAAUGAAGCCAAAAUGGCUGAACUUGACAAGGCCUUACGAGAGGCGAGAGAAGCGCAGUCUGAAUCCAGAGCAGCCCGUGAGGAGAUCCGGCAAGCUGGGGAAAUUGCGGCCGGUAAGCCCUUUUUGCUACAGGCUAAGUUUGGUGAUCCGAACUAUGCUCAGCUUAACCAAGUGUGGAGUUCUCCGGACGAGUUUUUAGACUUGCCAAAGAGUUCUUCCGAUGCGGCGCAGUUUCAUCAAGCGCAAGAGGGGUAUGCAACGGAGAAGCUUUUCUGGUCACAAUUUGGUGCGUCAAAGCGCCCUCUGUUGCUGAAUGAACAGAUGUCUCAAUGGGCCGAGCUUCAUAGGAUAUCCAGCGCUGCCAUGAAGAACGUCAUAAGCCGGCUGUGGCCAACUGAGCCUGCUCCGAAUAGCUACUUCGGCUUGGUGCAGCGGCUCGUUGAUGCGGUGCCGCGUGUCAACGUUGUGAAGCGGUCGGCGUGCAUUGAGGGUGCACGGAUGGCCUUUGCCCGUGUCAAGAAAUUCUGGGGGAAGAUGAAGGCCAUCGAUGUUGCGGCUAAGAGUCCACCCAAGGGCAAGGACCCUCACGCACCCGAGCUUUAUUUUGAAGACGUCCUGGAGGCCGCCCGCUUGAUAGAGGGUUAGUGCUCGAAAGACAUAAUAUUCGAGUGAGGUGUAUGAGAAUUGUAAAAGAUAGUUUUAUAGUUAAUCUAUUUUUAUGUUUUGCUCGAAAGCUCAUGUUCCUCCUGUGCGGCCGUUUUAAUAUAAUCUGAAAGUUUUCCAGUCGUCGGCUUCAGCCCCCUCAUAGGAAGUACGGGGAUGUUCGGAAAAGCAUUUAAUCACUCUUGAUCGAACGUCUUGGUCCAUGAAGGAGGUGAUAAUGCGGCGAACCAGGCAAUCAGACUAUAGGGUGUUAACACUUUCACUUAGCCAUAGGAGUUUUAUAGGGGGGACUACGAUAUAGCCCCUGGCAUGCGUACGGCUUAUUCCAAUAUGGUGCGUUACAUAUAUGACCUGAAAAAAAGGUCCUUCGUGUGACACGGAGGGAAUCACGACAGAUUCCGAUAAGUCAUCGAGUGGUCGACCAGCUCUCAUAGCAUCAUGACAGUCGGUUUUCGGCUUUCUCUACUGAGGUGCUUGACCUGAUGAACCGGAAGCACAAUCGUAGCAGUUCUCCCUUUACUACCCUAGUCGAUAGAGCGGAACGUAAGGUAGCAAGCACAGGAGCCGGGCAACCCAACCAUUGACCCAAUACAUGAUUCAGAGCUGAUGCAUAUAAGGCCAAACUCGCGACGCCGAAGUACGCUGUAAAGCUGUUCGGACUUUGUUGGCAACUCAUUUGUUCCCAUACCGAGCCCCUGGCAGGUUAUGCCGAGGUAUAUCUGUGAAACAACCAUAGGAGCCAUAUUCAUUGGCGAAAAGACACGAAUUAUUAAUUCGGGUAAUGUUUACUGGGACCUGAGCGAUAUGCCAAUGAUUACUUUAUAUAUAAAGACCACAACGCCGACUAUUUGACAUGCCUGGGGUCGAAGGUGGAGGAAAAAGGCAUAAUACAGGCUUGAAAUAAUGAGUGCGGUCUACAAAAGGUUAUGUUGGACCUCCUGUUGCACGUCUGCGUCGCCUGUCCUCGGCGAGGGGAAUCCUUGACGGAGGUAGCCCCUUAGGUGAGUGUACGGAUCCGAACUCUGAUGGAGUCGGUUUAGAUGCUUGUCCUUUGCGUCACCUAUUUUUAAGAGAUAAUGAAAAAAGAAGUAAAAAAGAAAGUAGAUAAAAAAUGUUACUGGAAUGCUUGCAGGCUUGUCCGUAUUGUGCUUCCGCCAAUGCCCAUGGUAUCUUGAGUGCGUGGUGAUGUAUGCGCGGUACGAAUUUUGCGUGUAUAUGAGGUGGGCGGCGGAAGCCGAACUGCUACUUCCGCUCCAGGGUUGAUCGAUCCUCGGGGGGAAAUUGCUUCUGACCGCCAGUGUUUGGUUGGUGAACCUCUCCGUCAUCCCUAUCGCCCGGUGGCCUCCUCCCCUUGUGUUCGGCUUUGAGCUUGCCGUCCUGCUUGAAGACCCAACAGUUUCUGUUGGUAUGAUUAGCUGGUUUAUCGGGGUGGCCGUGAAUCUGGCAGGGUCGGUCCAAGAUCCUGUCUAGGUUGGAUGGUCUGUCUCGAUUCGCCUUGAGUGGCUUUUUCCGUUGACUGGAUUUGGGAUUGCUGAAUCCGGCGUUGACCGCUGUGUCGCGUGAUCUUUCAUUAUCAUCGCGACUGUUGUGUUUGCUUCGUCAUGGUUUGCCAUUGCCGUCUCGUAUUUCGGAAGUGCCCGGGUCACUGGCGCUGUUGCUUCUACGAGCAAGCCAACUGUCUUCUCCCGUGCAAAAGCGAGUCAUUAGAGCAGUAAGGGCUGUCAUGGAUUUAGGUCCCUCUUAACCGAGGUGGCGUGCAAGCCAUUCAUCCCGGAUGCUGUGUUUGAAGGCCGCGAGGGAUUCCACGUCCGGACAGUCGGCGAUUUGGUUCUUUUUUACUAAGAACCUAGUCCAGAGCUUUCUGGCUGACUCUCCGGGCUGCCGGACAAUGUGACUUAAUUCAUCGGUGUCCGGUGGCCGGACAUACGUUCCUUGGAAGUUGUCGCGAAAGGCAUCUUUCCAAAUCUUCCCGGCUGCCAAUAGAAUUCUCGGGCAGACUAUUUUACCAGUACCGAGCUGGUCCUUUGAGUUUUAGUGGUAUGUAU
This 42941-nucleotide long non-coding RNA is filed under the name Triticum aestivum (bread wheat). RNAcentral describes it as "long non-coding RNA (TAES_LNC008843)". The stretch from base 25460 to 25584 matches the Rfam family "MIR1120/MIR1122 microRNA precursor family". Lineage: Eukaryota; Viridiplantae; Streptophyta; Magnoliopsida; Poales; Poaceae. The record is from RNAcentral.